CAAGAACAGCAGAGAAAGAAAUAUUUCAACAACAACAGCAGAGACUGAGGUGUGGAUCAGGCAGAACUGGCCAGUGGUCAGGCUGUUCCAGGUCAUUGAAAAGAUUUGUCUUCACAUUCCCAGGGACUGCUGAUUGUGU
RNAcentral lists this long non-coding RNA (139 nucleotides) under Cricetulus griseus (Chinese hamster). Its description in RNAcentral is "lncRNA (ENSCGRG00000025169.1)". Lineage: Eukaryota; Metazoa; Chordata; Mammalia; Rodentia; Cricetidae. The record is from RNAcentral.